Molecule: long non-coding RNA, 214 nt
Organism: Limulus polyphemus (Atlantic horseshoe crab)
Lineage: Eukaryota; Metazoa; Arthropoda; Merostomata; Xiphosura; Limulidae
Exons: 3
Source: RefSeq, a predicted model, not a curated record
CGAGAGUAUGGACGAUAUCCGUUUUGGGUUAGUUUGUUCAUCAUAUUUAUAUGAUUAAUUUCAAGGUUUUAUCAGGUACAAUGGACUGGGACCUCAUCCUAAUGGCCAAGGAUUAGGAAGGCACAUUUUCUUUCUUUUGGCUCAAGCAAACGUUCAAAGUCACAAUGUUUUAAGAGUUUCUGUGCUGUGUAACUGACUAAAAAUACACAUGUGU